This 363-nucleotide ribosomal RNA is filed under the name Juxtafabia muliniarum. RNAcentral describes it as "partial 12S ribosomal RNA". The record is from RNAcentral. Lineage: Eukaryota; Metazoa; Arthropoda; Malacostraca; Decapoda; Pinnotheridae.
UAUUAUUCUAAAAGAUUUAAGUUCCUAGGUUAGUAGUAGUUAUUUACUUAAAAGCUAAAAAAUUUGGCGGUAAUUUAAUCUUUUCARAGGAACUUGUUUUUUAAUCGAUAAUCCGCGAAAUAUCUUGCUUAUUCUAAUAAGGUUUGUAUACCAUCAUUAUCAGGUAAUUUUAAAAAAAUAAAUUACUAAGGCUGAAGGGUUAAUAAAAUUARAUCAUGGUGCAGCUAAUGAAUAAGUUAAAAUGAGUUACAAUAAAAUUUUUUAUACGGAUAAGUAGUGGAARAAACUAUUUAARAAGGAGGAUUUGGUUGUACUCUAAGUUUAAUACCCUUAGGGGAUGAUANCUCUAAAUUAUGUACNUNU